RNAcentral lists this transfer RNA (57 nucleotides) under Aphelocoma coerulescens (scrub jay). It matches the Rfam family "tRNA", at positions 9 to 63 of the family's 71-position model. From Rfam's summary of the family: Transfer RNA (tRNA) molecules are approximately 80 nucleotides in length. Their secondary structure includes four short double-helical elements and three loops (D, anti-codon, and T loops). RNAcentral also lists the same sequence under 4 other names. Lineage: Eukaryota; Metazoa; Chordata; Aves; Passeriformes; Corvidae. The record is from Rfam by way of RNAcentral.
AGCUCAGUUGUUAGAGCCUGGUGCUAAUAACACCAAGCUUGUGGGUUCAAUCCCCAU